UACGAAGGGGGCUAGCGUUGCUCGGAAUCACUGGGCGUAAAGCGCACGUAGGCGGGUCCUUAAGUCAGGGGUGAAAUCCUGGAGCUCAACUCCAGAACUGCCUUUGAUACUGAGGAUCUCGAGUUCGGGAGAGGUGAGUGGAACUGCGAGUGUAGAGGUGAAAUUCGUAGAUAUUCGCAAGAACACCAGUGGCGAAGGCGGCUCACUGGCCCGAUACUGACGCUGAGGUGCGAAAGCGUGGGGAGCAAACGGG
This 253-nucleotide ribosomal RNA is filed under the name uncultured bacterium. RNAcentral describes it as "partial 16S ribosomal RNA". It matches the Rfam family "Bacterial small subunit ribosomal RNA", at positions 524 to 776 of the family's 1533-position model. The record is from RNAcentral.